This 1265-nucleotide ribosomal RNA is filed under the name metagenome. Its description in RNAcentral is "bacterial LSU rRNA". It matches the Rfam family "Bacterial large subunit ribosomal RNA", at positions 1674 to 2925 of the family's 2925-position model. The record is from RNAcentral.
CAAAAUACCAAGGCGAUCGAGUGAAUCGUGGUUAAGGAAUUCGGCAAAAUACCCCCGUAACUUCGGGAGAAGGGGGGCCCAGAGGGUGACGGGACUUGCUCCCCGAGCCUGAACGGCCGCAGAGACCAGGGAGAAGCGACUGUUUACUAAAAACACAGGUCCGUGCCAAGUCGCAAGACGAUGUAUACGGACUGACGCCUGCCCGGUGCUGGAACGUUAAGGGGACCGGUUAGCCUCACGGCGAAGCUGAGAACUUAAGCGCCAGUAAACGGCGGUGGUAACUAUAACCAUCCUAAGGUAGCGAAAUUCCUUGUCGGGUAAGUUCCGACCUGCACGAAUGGCGUAACGACUUCUCCACUGUCUCAACCACGAACUCGGCGAAAUUGCACUACGAGUAAAGAUGCUCGUUACGCGCAGAAGGACGGAAAGACCCCGGGACCUUUACUACAGCUUGGUAUUGGUGUUCGGUACGGCUUGUGUAGGAUAGGUGGGAGACUGUGAAGCUGACACGCCAGUGUCGGUGGAGUCAACGUUGAAAUACCACUCUGGUCGUUCUGGAUAUCUAACCUAGGUCCGUAAUCCGGAUCAGGGACAGUGCCUGGUGGGUAGUUUAACUGGGGCGGUUGCCUCCUAAAAGGUAACGGAGGCGCCCAAAGGUUCCCUCAGCCUGGUUGGCAAUCAGGUUUCGAGUGUAAGUGCACAAGGGAGCUUGACUGUGAGACUGACAAGUCGAACAGGGACGAAAGUCGGGACUAGUGAUCCGGCGGUGGCUUGUGGAAGCGCCGUCGCUCAACGGAUAAAAGGUACCCCGGGGAUAACAGGCUGAUCUUGCCCAAGAGUCCAUAUCGACGGCAUGGUUUGGCACCUCGAUGUCGGCUCGUCGCAUCCUGGGGCUGGAGUAGGUCCCAAGGGUUGGGCUGUUCGCCCAUUAAAGCGGUACGCGAGCUGGGUUUAGAACGUCGUGAGACAGUUCGGUCCCUAUCCUCUGCGCGCGCAGGAAACUUGAGAAGGGCUGUCCCUAGUACGAGAGGACCGGGAUGGACGAACCUCUGGUGUGUCGGUUGUUCUGCCAAGAGCACCGCUGAUUAGCUACGUUCGGGAGUGAUAACCGCUGAAAGCAUCUAAGCGGGAAGCAUGCUUCAAGAUGAGGUUUCCAUGGGGUUUACCCCGAGAGGCUCCCAGCUAGACUACUGGGUUGAUAGGCCGGAUGUGGAAGUGCGGUAACGCAUGGAGCUGACCGGUACUAAUAAGCCGAUAACUUGACU